UAUGCAGAAAAUAAGUAGUCCUGAUCUAGAUUUUCAGGCCCAGAUAUCAUAUCUGUAAUUUCAACGGUGUCUUUGAUACAUUCAAGACGGGACUGAACUUCAUUUGAGUCAUCAGCAUAAUCGUAAGUGUCCACCCUGUUUGAAAUCAUGAUUACAAGUUCAUGUACAUCAAUAAUUUUAUGUAAACUACAUCGAAGGGUUGUCAUAAUGGAAUUUAUGUAUUUUACCUUAAAUUUGGUCUCGAAAGUACAUCAUUGUCUUCUGAGCAAUAAGGUCUAUCAGAAAAGCAAGAACUAUCUUCGGGUAAUGACUUCAGAUUGU
Molecule: long non-coding RNA, 321 nt
Filed under: Triticum aestivum (bread wheat)
Lineage: Eukaryota; Viridiplantae; Streptophyta; Magnoliopsida; Poales; Poaceae
Description: long non-coding RNA (TAES_LNC001178)
Source: RNAcentral